UCGCGGCUUAUCACCGGCAGUCCCCUUAGAGUGCCCAACUGAAUGAUGGCAACUAAGGACGGGGGUUGCGCUCGUUGCGGGACUUAACCCAACAUCUCACGACACGAGCUGGCGACAGCCAUGCAGCACCUGAACCGGAGGUCCCCGAAGGGAAGACCCCAUCUCUGGAGCUGUCCUCCGUUGUCUAGCCCAGGUAAGGUUCUUCGCGUUGCGUCGAAUUGAACCACAUGCUCCACCGCUUGUGCGGGCCCCCGUCAAUUCCUUUGAGUUUUAACCUUGCGGCCGUAGUCCCCAGGCGGAGCACUUAAUGCGUUAGCUGCGGCACCGCGGGGGUCACGACCCAUCAAACCUAGUACCCAUCGUUUACAGCGUGGACUAC
RNAcentral lists this unclassified non-coding RNA (379 nucleotides) under uncultured delta proteobacterium. RNAcentral's name for it is "contains 16S-23S intergenic spacer region". The record is from RNAcentral. Lineage: Bacteria; Deltaproteobacteria.